RNAcentral lists this ribosomal RNA (491 nucleotides) under uncultured bacterium. RNAcentral describes it as "partial 16S ribosomal RNA". It matches the Rfam family "Bacterial small subunit ribosomal RNA", at positions 29 to 507 of the family's 1533-position model. The record is from RNAcentral.
AGUGAACGCUGGCGGUAGGCCUAACACAUGCAAGUCGAACGGCAGCACAGUAAGAGCUUGCUCUUACGGGUGGCGAGUGGCGGACGGGUGAGGAAUACAUCGGAAUCUACUUUUUCGUGGGGAUAACGUAGGGAAACUUACGCUAAUACCGCAUACGACCUACGGGUGAAAGCAGGGGAUCUUCGGACCUUGCGCGAUUGAGUGAGCCGAUGUCGGAUUAGCUAGUUGGCGGGGUAAAGGCCCACCAAGGCGACGAUCCGUAGCUGGUCUGAGAGGAUGAUCAGCCACACUGGAACUGAGACACGGUCCAGACUCCUACGGGAGGCAGCAGUGGGGAAUAUUGGACAAUGGGCGCAAGCCUGAUCCAGCCAUACCGCGUGGGUGAAGAAGGCCUUCGGGUUGUAAAGCCCUUUUGUUGGGAAAGAAAAGCAGCAGGUUAAUACCCCGCUGUUCUGACGGUACCCAAAGAAUAAGCACCGGCUAACUUCGUG